Molecule: long non-coding RNA, 5108 nt
Filed under: Sus scrofa (pig)
Lineage: Eukaryota; Metazoa; Chordata; Mammalia; Artiodactyla; Suidae
Description: lncRNA (ENSSSCG00035044533.1)
Source: RNAcentral
GGUGCACAGAGGAAAGGCCAUUGAGAACUCAGCAAGAAGGCAGGCAUCUGCAAGCCAAGGAGAGAGGCUUCACCAGAAACUAAUCCUGACCUUGAUUUUGGACUUCUAACCUUCCAGGACUGUGAGAAAACAAAUUUGUUAAAUCUCCCAGUCAGUGGUAUUCUGUUAUGGCAAGCCCAAGCAGACUAAGACAAGCACAGUCACUAUUGCCUAGUGAUUACCAAGUAUUUCAUAUGCAUCUCUUUUAAUCUUCAUAAUAAACCCUGAUGGUUAUCUUGGAGAAGAUAUUUGAUGUUGGUGUUGAAGAAAGUUCAGCAAUGGCUUGGCUAUGAAAUGAGAUGAAGAGUUCUGGAAGCCUGUGUAGAAAGGCUCAUAGAAGAAAGCAGGUCCUAUCAUCCAUCUGAUUUUGUGAACCUUAUACUGUUUUUAGUAUAUUUACAAGAUGGAGAAUAAGAACAAUGAGAAGAGGUAAAGCAUUAAUCAAUCUAUUCAGUAAUGCUGUACAUCUACAACAAAAGAAAACAACAGAUAAAAUUAAAACUCUUGGUCACAGAGAGGUAUAAGUAUUAAGUGAAAGUGUCAGUACAUUCCUUGACCUCAAAUGGGAAGCAAAAUUGAGAGUCAAUAGUAAGCUCCACCAUUUAAGCCAGACAUUGAAGUCCCUAAAACUAUUUCCCAGGAUAAAGGCCUCAAAUAAAACAGUUCAUAUCAGCAAUUCUGAAUAUGAAAUUCUGUUAAUUUUUUUCCAUAAAAUAUUAUCUGCACUUAGAUAUAUCUUUCAAUAGAGUUGCUGAUGAUGGAAGAAACAAAGAUGAGAAAAAAGUCACAUAGGAUUCAUAAUGAGGUAAGAAUAAAUAACAAUAUCUUUUUGUCUGAUUAGUGUUUUCCCUUUUUUAAGAGGCCACCAGCCACAGUGACUACAUGAAACACAGUAUACGUGAAAGAUGACUAUUUAUUGAGAGAGUAUUUUAAGUUUAGGAGCCAAUCACCUAGCUUCCCCCCACCUGAGCAAAGACAGUUUGCAGAGGAUGGGGUAGAUGGUGACCAUCACUGUGUGGAGGACUAUCUCAGAUUUAUCCCAUGAAGUAAAAAGUUAUCUCUUCCUUUUAUCUGGAAAUAGAUCUUUUCAUGGUGACCCUGGGCCUAAAUGAUUACCUGGAUGUGUAUCUCAAGGCACUUCACAAUUGCUUGAGCAGAAUGAGGCAUGUGCCUAUAGCUGGUUACCCAUCAGCAUACUCCCCUGGGACAUCAUCAAAAGGAAAGCCAGCAGAUGAAAGGAAAGAGAGUUUUGUCCCCUCCCCUGUGAAAGAUUCUGGAGUAGGGGAAUGCCAGGUUUACCCUGGAUCUCCAAACCUAUCCCACAUUCAGUACAUAGCACGUGGUAUAUGCUCCACAGGAGUGUGAUGAAGCAGAGAGGGAGAAAAGCAGGGAUAGGAAAAAAAAGGAUGAAAAGGGAAAUUAAUCUUCUAAGAGCUCUACAGGGUAUGUUUCUAGAACCUUCUCAGCUCUAAUGGGGAGAGACAGGCUCAUUUCAUCCUACAAGGUUGUUAAACACCCUUCCAAAAAAAUAACUGUCAACUGCAGAUCUACUUGACGUAACAGCUUGGGAACAGUCGAAUUAGAAAGUGGCCAGUUAUCCUAUAGUCUGGAGCCUAAUAUUAACGUUUUUAGAACUAUAAGGAGUCUUGGAGUCACCCAGGAUGCCUCCGAGUGGAAUGUGAUGUGACUUGCCUACUAUCACAUAGCUUGUUAGUAUUAAAGACUAAAACCUGGGUCAAAAAGUUCCCCAGCCCAGCAUUUCACACACUGCAGUUUUCCUAUAUAGAACAGAAGCAAUAGUUUGUUCUAUCCUUUCAUAUUUCCUGACCCAAGUCACUUAAUAUCUCCCUCUUCAGAAGUCCCACUAACCCUCACCUCUUCCCCUGGCACCAUGGAGCUUUAGGUUGCUAGGGAAGCAGUCCACACUGGCUCACAGAGCAUUUAUAGAAUGCACAGUUAAAACUCUUGUAAAAGCUUGGUCACUAGGCAUGAUUAAAGCAACAGGAAUUACUCUCUUAAUUGGAAUCCUAAAUUUGAGAAUAUCUUUGUAGCCACUUGUUUGCUGGAGCCAGUGCUCUUCAGACUUAAGCUAGUAUGUAAGUUCCAUGAGGGUAGGAACCAUGUCUAUCUUGGUCCUAAGUCUCCACAGUGCCUAGUAGGUACUGAACUGCCCAUUAAAUUAUUGAACAUGACCACAAGUUCUAUAUUUCAUGAUUCUAAGAACAUUCCUUGAUGUCCUCAUCUGCAAAUAACUGAGAGUAUCACUCUUCAGCCAAAUAUUUUCAAAAAUCUCUACUCUACCUAGUCUCCAUCCAAUUAACUCAACACAGAGUCUGGUCACCCACAGCACAAGCAAAGAGUUCAACUCCAUUUGACUUGAUCUGCUCUGUUAGUUAACAACCCUUACCCCCAAGUGAAUGAAGACAUACUAAGGGCUAACAUUCUAGAACUAGAAGAAAGACAUUCAAUGACUGUCCUCAUUUUCCAGCCUUAGAGUGCAGAACAGAGAUGUGUAGGCCAAUGAAUUGCUAUCUCCUUCAUGCCACUAUUUGCAGGAUCUUUACUGGAGGACAGGCUGAUCUCUGCGUCGAGAAGGACCAGGCACGAGGACCACUAGGGCAGUUUGCCUUCCACGGCAAUGUAGCAAUCCAGCUGGAGCACUCAAUUUAUAUAUUCCAGUAGGAAAAACAGGAGCCCUGCAGUAAAACAUUCCCAAGCUCCUCUCUCUUCUGAUUACUCCCUACUUUCCACCACUAGGAAUUUAUCAAACCAUUCCUUCCAGCCCACACAGAGUUUUCCCUAAAAGAAUUGUGGUAUUAUUUUCCUCUCCCUCUAUUUCAAAGGGUGUGUUAGCACACUGUGGACAUUUUACUGCCCUCAUAGCUUAGUCCUCCAAGCACUUGUCCAGCUGGUCUGUCUUUCAUCUGACCCUGAUGGCAGCCAUUACUUGAAAUGAAGAAGGCAAUAUAGUUAUAAAUUGCAGUUGAUGUUCCUUUUCUCUCAGGGGUUUGGUAGCCCAUCCAUAAGGUCUUCUUGAUGAUGGUGUCCAGCAGCCAGGAUUCAAGAAGCUCAGAAGCAGCAGUGGGAAACAAUAUAGGAAAAGGCCAUCCUCCUCCAAAGGAGUUGGUUUUCCUCCUGUCUCAGCAACUGUAAAAUUAUAAAUCAAAGAUUAAAAAGUUAAGCCACUGCUCAAGAGGAUCUUUGUAAAUACAAGGCUUAAACAAAACCCGAUGACAGAUUCAUUGGCAUCUAAGUGAAGUCUGUGGUUUUUCAGACAAUGGGGCAGAGACACAAGAACACACAGAUCAUGCCUAAGGAUUCUCCAUUCAUUUAUUUUGCUGUAUCCAAGAAAGAGGAAAAGUUAUAAUUGCUAUUAAAUGUAAGUGAAUCUGCAUGUAGACAGGAUGUAGAAUGAGUGGGCCAGGGCAGGGGGUGGGGAACAAACCGGGGGAAAAGGAAAGAGAGUCCACCUGAAACCAGCCACUGUUUCGUCACAGUAUUUCAUGGGGCUGACCUUCAUGGAGUUUGAUUUUGUGAACUGAGAGUUGAAUAAAUCAUAAUAUUUGGGGAUAAACUUGGAUUUAAGAUCCCAUGUAAAGUGAGAAAUGCAGUGACCCAAGCUUUAUCCAGUUCCUAGGCAACCAAAAUGAUUGAUUUCCAGGGUCAUUAACAAAUUAUGAGUGACAAAAACUUCACCCGAAGAUGGUCUAGGAGAAGCAUCACUAGUUUAGGGCGUCCCUGCCCAAAGCAUCACAGGCAAUGUAUUGUCAUGCUACUGCCAUCAUACUAGUCACCAAAUCAAUGACUAUCUUUAGCUGCUAUCCCCUGCCUUGCUGUGACAUUCUGUCCCCUUCAUCAAUCUCCAGGAAAUCAUUGUGCAUGUGCUAUUAUCCAUCCAUUCAAAUUUCUUUAAUAUGACAAAUACUAGUUAAAUAAGAAGUCUUCCAGUAGCUAGAUUUGAAUAUUUCAUACCAGAAUAUUAGCAAUCGGUGGCUUUAACAUUCCCACGGUAUAUUUGUAAUUUAAAAAUGGACUUACAUACAUGAAACUCUUACUUACUGGAAUAUGGGAAGAAGAGAGAGGAGGGGAUGAGUGAGCAAGGAAAGGGGCAGGAUUUGUCAUGCCUCUUAUUUAAUCUCACCACCAUUACACACCAACCACCACCCUCCAAACAGUGAGCUGCAGCAACUGUGCCUCCAGUGACACGGAACAGCUGCCAACCCCGGACUGAAAAAGCAGGUCUGUCCUCAGAGCACAUGAAGAAAAGGAUCCUUUUUAGAAAUGACAUCUAAGCCUAUGGAGAAACAUCCUAUAGAUAGCAAAGGUCAUGUCUGCAUUCCAGGUGUCUUUCUUGGCCCCAAACCUUUAUUUGCUUUUUACAAAGAAGCAGACUGAAAGGUGAGUGGCUUACCCAGUGUUACACAGGGACUGACUAAAAGAUAGGACCACAACUAAGCCUAGAUCUCCCAAAUCCUAGUCUACCACUCUGCCCAAGUAAACUCCUCUGAGCACAGCCCACUGUCUUUGCUCCAGACAUAGGCAGAAGGAUUAUAUUCUUCAAACUCUAGAGUGGUAUUUGGGUAGCAUCUGAGUAGUAAUUUCCCCUUCCUGGACAACAAUCUGGUUCAGUGGGUCUCGGGGAGGCACAGGAAUGUUAACAGGUUCCCUGGGGGAUUCUGGUCUGUGAGGUGUAGGAACCACCACUGUGCUUCUCUUGCCACUCCUCCACCUAUCAGCACCAUGCAGAUGGCCGGAAGGAGCCCCUGAGGGGCUGUUCUGGGGACAUCCUCUGGAUCCCAAAGAUCAAAGGGCUCUUGACCACUAGGGCACAAGUCAGAGCCCCGAAGACAAACACCAGCCUUGAAAUCUCAAAGAAAGAAUGUUGAAAAUGUGCCAGAAAGGUCUUCUCUUAAGCCCUGUUGACCUUAAUGACUUUGUGGCCAGCAAUAUCUCAGCUAUACCCUCAAGGUUCCUGUAUAACGAAUCUUCUAAAAUGUGCUGAGCGCCUACCUUGUGGAACAUUGUGCAGAGGGACUAAGACGUACAAAAAAAAAAAAAAAAAAAAAAAA